UGGCCAAGGUGACAUUUGCUUGGUGGUGUCUG
Molecule: non-coding RNA, 32 nt
Filed under: Mus musculus (house mouse)
Lineage: Eukaryota; Metazoa; Chordata; Mammalia; Rodentia; Muridae
Source: RNAcentral